GGAGGGCAGAAAUAUUUACGAACGGCUUGUGCAAGCUUGCUUGCUAAAAGCCGUUCGUAAAUAUUUCUAUCCGGCGUUUAGCCGAAGCGAGAUGAAGCGAAGCGGAAUCGAGCUUGCCCUUC
This 122-nucleotide small RNA is filed under the name Muricomes intestini. RNAcentral describes it as "Clostridiales-1 RNA". Lineage: Bacteria; Bacillati; Bacillota; Clostridia; Lachnospirales; Lachnospiraceae. The record is from RNAcentral.